UACGAAGGGGCUAGCGUUGUUCGGAAUUAUUGGGCGUAAAGCGCACGUAGGCGGUUCGUUAAGUCGGAUGUGAAAGCCCUCGGCUCAACUGAGGAAGUGCACCCGAAACUGGCGAGCUUGAGUACGAAAGAGGAUCGCGGAAUUCCCGGUGUAGAGGUGAAAUUCGUAGAUAUCGGGAGGAACACCGGUGGCGAAGGCGGCGAUCUGGGUCGAUACUGACGCUGAGGUGCGAAAAGCGUGGGGAGCAAACAGGG
Molecule: ribosomal RNA, 254 nt
Filed under: uncultured bacterium
Lineage: Bacteria
Description: partial 16S ribosomal RNA
Rfam family: Bacterial small subunit ribosomal RNA
Source: RNAcentral